ACAUGGCCAUCCAUGACAUGGCCAAGGUGGCCACUAAGUGGGGAUUCAUUGUCUUGUUUAGUCGCUCUUGGACAUCCAUACAUGGGACCUACUUCUGUCAAGGGCCGGACAGGAGAGGCGCCUUCAUUUCCCCCGUUUCAUAUCCUGUCCUGUCUAGAGUGUGGCCGAAAAGGAGUCAACGAAAGUAGGGGAAGUGGAACUAGAAAUGAAACAAACUAUUAUUUUUUGUUAAAAAUGGAAAAAUGGGAAGUGCAAUCAUUUUUUGUGAAAUGCUAUAUAAUUUUGGAGUGUAAUAAAUGUAUGAGGAUGAA
Long non-coding RNA from Penaeus monodon (black tiger shrimp), 311 nucleotides. RefSeq lists it as uncharacterized. NCBI's taxonomy places the organism in Eukaryota, Metazoa, Arthropoda, Malacostraca, Decapoda, Penaeidae. The transcript is spliced from 2 exons. The record is from RefSeq and is a predicted model, not a curated record.